RNAcentral lists this small RNA (127 nucleotides) under Marmota monax (woodchuck). Lineage: Eukaryota; Metazoa; Chordata; Mammalia; Rodentia; Sciuridae. The record is from RNAcentral.
GCUGGGCACAGUGGUGCACACCUGUAAUCCCAGCAGCUUGGAAGGCUGAGGCAGGAGGAUCACGAGUUCAAAGCCAGCCUCAGCAAUUUAGCAAGGUGCUAAGAAACUCAGUGAGACCCUGUCUCAA